Molecule: unclassified non-coding RNA, 22 nt
Filed under: Calliactis polypus
Lineage: Eukaryota; Metazoa; Cnidaria; Anthozoa; Actiniaria; Hormathiidae
Description: partial external transcribed spacer
Source: RNAcentral
CUGAACGCCUCUAAGUCAUAAA